GGAGAGAUGAGGGGUACAGCAGAGAUGAGGGGCGCUGGGGAGAUGAAAGGUGCAGUGGAGAUGAGGGGUGCAGGAGAGGUGAGGGGUACAGUGGAGGUGGAGGGUACAGUGGAGGUGAGGGGUACAGUGGAAAUGAGGGGUACAGUGGAGAUGAGGAAUGUGGGGGAGAUGAGGGAUCCCCACCCUCAGUGCUGGCCUGUCUUCGCCUGUAUUCGUGCUCCUCCAUCUGCCCACCCCAGGGUCCACCCACAGCUGGGGUCACAGCUCAGCCACCUGGGCUGAACUUUCCACAUCAGGCUCCACGAGGCUCCACUCCCUCCAGCACCCCACUGGCCACCCAGAGCCCCAAGGCCAGAGCUGUCUUGGAUCCAGCCCCCCACCUGCCCUCACCCCCAAAGUCACCUACAAUUCACCAUGGGGGCUGGGUGAGACCAGAGGCCCUGCCCCUGCCCUCUCCACUUGGAC
This 465-nucleotide long non-coding RNA is filed under the name Homo sapiens (human). RNAcentral's name for it is "HSALNT0177402". The record is from RNAcentral. Lineage: Eukaryota; Metazoa; Chordata; Mammalia; Primates; Hominidae.